GUCCACGCCGUAAACGAUGUCAACUAGCCGUUGGGAGUCUUGAACUCUUAGUGGCGCAGCUAACGCAUUAAGUUGACCGCCUGGGGGAGUACGGCCGCAAGGUUAAAACUCAAAUGAAUUGACGGGGGCCCGCACAAGCGGUGGAGCAUGUGGUUUAAUUCGAAGCAACGCGAAGAACCUUACCAGGCCUUGACAUCCAAUGAACUUUCUAGAGAUAGAUUGGUGCCUUCGGGAACAUUGAGACAGGUGCUGCAUGGCUGUCGU
This 264-nucleotide ribosomal RNA is filed under the name uncultured bacterium. RNAcentral describes it as "partial 16S ribosomal RNA". It matches the Rfam family "Bacterial small subunit ribosomal RNA", at positions 793 to 1055 of the family's 1533-position model. The record is from RNAcentral.